GGGGCCCCUCGUCACCCGGAUCUACCACCGGGAUGUUCAUAACCCUUUGUUGUCCGACUCUGUUGCCUCCGGGGCGACCCUGCCUUCGGGCGGGGGCUCCGGGUGGACACUUCAAACUCUUGCGUAACUUUGCAGUCUGAGUAAACUUAAUUAAUAAAUUAAAACUUUUAACAACGGAUCUCUUGGUUCUGGCAUCGAUGAAGAACGCAGCGAAAUGCGAUAAGUAAUGUGAAUUGCAGAAUUCAGUGAAUCAUCGAAUCUUUGAACGCACAUUGCGCCCCCUGGUAUUCCGGGGGGCAUGCCUGUUCGAGCGUCAUUUCACCACUCAAGCCUCGCUUGGUAUUGGGCAACGCGGUCCGCCGCGUGCCUCAAAUCGACCGGCUGGGUCUUCUGUCCCCUAAGCGUUGUGGAAACUAUUCGCUAAAGGGUGCUCGGGAGGCUACGCCGUAAAACAAACCCAUUUCUAAGGUUGACCUCGGAUCAGGUAGGGAUACCCGCUGAACUUAAGCAUAUCAAAAGCCGGAGGAACCGCUGAACUUAAGCAUAUCAAUAAGCGGAGGUGCUUUCUUGCGUUUAAUGCUGAUCUGGUAGGAGCGGAAGAACGGUUGCUUGUGGGAGGGCGCGGUAAAUCUUUUUUGCCUGAGAAAGUGUGCACCUGAGCCAUCUCACAAAAUACAUCAACCUGUAAAAAGGAAUUUCUGCCGUGGCCACCAAGAGAGAAGACACAAAUCACAUUAAGUAGUGCUCGUUGGCUGGCAUUUUUUUCAAACAGGAAAGCCUUGACCGCCUGGCGCCGGUGAAUUACCGGACACAUGCCGUGAGGAGGGUUGUCUUUUGUAUGGGUUCUCUUCCUCGUUUCGCACUGGGUUUUAUUAA
This 876-nucleotide ribosomal RNA is filed under the name Cladosporium sp. SS-04. Its description in RNAcentral is "eukaryotic LSU rRNA". The stretch from base 163 to 316 matches the Rfam family "5.8S ribosomal RNA". The record is from RNAcentral. Lineage: Eukaryota; Fungi; Ascomycota; Dothideomycetes; Cladosporiales; Cladosporiaceae.